This 752-nucleotide long non-coding RNA is filed under the name Mytilus galloprovincialis (Mediterranean mussel). Lineage: Eukaryota; Metazoa; Mollusca; Bivalvia; Mytilida; Mytilidae. The record is from RNAcentral.
AAAUAUUAUAUGGCCUAUACAACAGAGCUCAAUAUCAAAGAUGUGGGAGUUCAUGAAAUCGAAAUUCACAAGAAUGUCCAGGACCAAAAUUUACCAUCGAAAAUGUCUUCAACAGGGUUCCUUCAAUCAUUGACCUUUGAUUAAUGGUACAAUAAAACGAAUCACACGAAGGAAAAACAGUUUUUCAAAACACACAAAAACAAAACAACAAAUACAUCAAGAGAUACAAAACUAGCCAAAAAAAAAUCCAACAAAAGAAUACAAUAAAAAGUAUUCUACAUACACCAAAGAUCCAUGUCAUCAUAAGCCCAGAGCAGAAAUCUAAUGCUAAGAAGUUCUAUAGCUUCAUAAAGAAUAAAAGAUGCGAAAUGGAGGGGUUGCGCUACUAAGAAACACAUACAGGCUCACAUAUUCGGAUUAUAAAAUGAAGGCAAAUAUACUUAGUUUUCCUCAGCAUUUAACAGCAAAAGAAGAGACUAUCGCAUAGAAAUGAAAUCAGAUACAUACCAACGUAUGAAAAAAAACACUACAUCGUAACAUGGGAAAAUGGAAUACACAAACUGCUGUUAAAUCUUAACAUACAUAAAGCAUCAGGACCAGAUGAAAAUCUCUACAAAAUUAUUGAAGAAAAAAACCUCCUGAAAUACAUACUUGCACCAAUUUUCAAAACUCCGUCGACCAAGGUACAUUUAUACAAUCUGAUUGGAAAAAUGCAUAUGAAGUUCCAAUACUAAAGAACGGGGGUCGUAGCC